ACUUCUUUUCCUCUUUCAGGUUCUGCCCUGAUGUUUCCUGGAAUAAUGCUGAGGACUGCCUUUCGGGUAGCCGCCCUAUUCAGUUCACUUCAUCUCGGAAAUACCUGACCCCUGCCUUGGAUCCAGCGGCCCUCCUGAGAGCUGAGGAAGGAGGAAAUCCUAUGUGUCUGCUCCCGGAGCUGCCACAACCCAUCUUCCCACAACUCGGAACUUGGAAAAAGGAACCCAGGACACGACUUUGCUUUUCUUUUGGACCUAGUUGAUACAAGUUAACAGGAUAUGCUUCUGGCCUGUUUCUGGAUUCUAAGGGUAGAACCAGCAUAAAACUAGUCAGUCCAAGUAUUUCUAAAGAUCCACAGACACAGUUCUCCUGGAUUUGGGAAG
This 384-nucleotide long non-coding RNA is filed under the name Homo sapiens (human). RNAcentral's name for it is "non-protein coding PRKCQ-AS1:47". The record is from RNAcentral. Lineage: Eukaryota; Metazoa; Chordata; Mammalia; Primates; Hominidae.